CGAUGUGAUCAUACCAGCACUAAAGCAACGGAUCCCAUCAAAACUCCGAAGUUAAGAGUGCUUGGGCGAGAGUAGUACUAGGAUGGGUGACCUCCUGGGAAGUCCUCGUAUUGCAUUCC
RNAcentral lists this ribosomal RNA (119 nucleotides) under Triticum aestivum (bread wheat). Lineage: Eukaryota; Viridiplantae; Streptophyta; Magnoliopsida; Poales; Poaceae. The record is from RNAcentral.